RNAcentral lists this ribosomal RNA (500 nucleotides) under uncultured Desulfobulbus sp. RNAcentral's name for it is "bacterial SSU rRNA". It matches the Rfam family "Bacterial small subunit ribosomal RNA", at positions 903 to 1382 of the family's 1533-position model. Lineage: Bacteria; Pseudomonadati; Thermodesulfobacteriota; Desulfobulbia; Desulfobulbales; Desulfobulbaceae. The record is from RNAcentral.
GCCAGCCCGCUCAGAACUUAAAUGAAUUGACGGGGCCGCACAAGCGUGGAGUAUGUGGUUUAAUCGAUGCAACGCGAAGAACCUUACCUGGUCUUGACAUCCCGGAGACCCUUAGGAAACUAGGGGGUGCUUCCAUCUGGAAGAAUCUGGAGACAGGUGCUGCAUGGCUGUCGUCAGCUCGUGUCGUGAGAUGUUGGGUUAAGUCCUGCAACGAGCGCAACCCUUGCCUUUAGUUGCCAGCAGUUCGGCUGGGCACUCUAAAGGGACUGCCGGUGUUAAACCGGAGGAAGGUGGGGAUGACGUCAAGUCCUCAUGGCCUUUAUGACCAGGGCUACACACGUACUACAAUGGCCGAUACAAAGGGCAGCGACACUGCGAGGUGAAGCCAAUCCCGUAAAAUCGGUCUCAGUCCGGAUUGGAGUCUGCAACUCGACUCCAUGAAGUUGGAAUCGCUAGUAAUCGUGGAUCAGCAUGCCACGGUGAAUACGUUCCCGGGCCUU